Molecule: long non-coding RNA, 1226 nt
Organism: Hyaena hyaena (striped hyena)
Lineage: Eukaryota; Metazoa; Chordata; Mammalia; Carnivora; Hyaenidae
Exons: 5
Source: RefSeq, a predicted model, not a curated record
GUGUCUCCCUGGAUCCCAGGGAGGGGUCCCAGCGCCCCACCCACCAGAAGAGAAGGCAAGCUGUCGGGCAAGAGCCCUAAGAGGACAGCCGGGGGUCGCGCUGAAGCAGCGCAGGUAACAGAUGGCUGGACUUACGGAAAGAGCUGCGGCAAACACCCCGGGGCUGAGCUGGAUCAAGCUGGUUUGAAGGCCAUCCCCUUCCAGGAACCGGAGGGACAGAGCAGCUGAGUAAUUCUGUUUUCUUGUCAUCUGUUAACACUGCACCAUCUGCCAGCUCCACUCCCCGGGCUCCUACCGCUCCCUGAGAGGCCUGCCUGGGGGAGGCCGCUGUGUCCCGGAGGCUGGACCUCCAGGCCCCCCUCACCAAGGAACUCCAAAGACCCGCACGAAGCUCAUUUCUUCUGCUCAGUCCCAACAGCGGCGGGCUAGAAUUACAGGGAUAAGUCCAGUCUUCGAGCCUCCACACCUCCGCCGGGGAGACCGCGAUGCUUCAGAGCUGUGAGGCUGAAGAAACUGAGGCUCAGAGACAAAGAGGAUCUCUAGUCCCUUCUCCAUUUAUUCCACCGUUCACUCACGUAUUUAUUCUCCUCUCUUACUCUUCCUGGGGUCAUUCCCUCAGUUGAGCAUUCACUCAACAAACACAUGUGGUCACUCAGUGAAAACCCAUGGAGUACCAACUCAGUACCUGGGCAAGUCCAGAAAACACCAACAACUGGUAAACCCCGGCCCACCCUGGAGGGGCACAAACCAGUAGACUCUGACUUAAAAGGGACCAAAGUAUGGCUCCAUCCGCAGCCUUUCAGGCUGCCAGCCUGCACCCUUUCCCUCCUCCUUCCCAGCAACAACCCUGGGCAGCUGAUGAAGCCCUUUCAUUAGCAUUUUAAAAUUUAAUCCCAGCGAAGCCUCCAGCGGUUAGGUAUUAUGUGAGCCUUCCCCAGCCUCUUGCUAACGUGGCCCCAAAAGGGUAAGUGGUUGCCCAAAAUCACCCCGCUGGUGGGGGGCAGAAUAGCAGGACCCAGGCCCUUGACAUUGCACCACGGCUGCGGCUGCACUCCUGGGUGCUGUGGGGGUCCAGAGCGUGGGCCUGGGCUGUGGCCCUACACUUCCUCUUCUACCAUUUGUCCUAACUAGCCUUGUGGCCUCCCACUCCCACCCCCCAUGCCGAUCCUUCCCUAAUGUUCCCUCCUCCUGUUCCGUUCUGCCUUCCUGCUCCACUUAUUAAAUGU